This 483-nucleotide ribosomal RNA is filed under the name uncultured bacterium. Its description in RNAcentral is "partial 16S ribosomal RNA". It matches the Rfam family "Bacterial small subunit ribosomal RNA", at positions 30 to 506 of the family's 1533-position model. The record is from RNAcentral.
AUUGAACGCUGGCGGCAGGCCUAACACAUGCAAGUCGAGCGGAUGAAGGGAGCUUGCUCCUGGAUUCAGCGGCGGACGGGUGAGUAAUGCCUAGGAAUCUGCCUGGUAGUGGGGGAUAACGUCCGGAAACGGGCGCUAAUACCGCAUACGUCCUGAGGGAGAAAGUGGGGGAUCUUCGGACCUCACGCUAUCAGAUGAGCCUAGGUCGGAUUAGCUAGUUGGUGGGGUAAAGGCCUACCAAGGCGACGAUCCGUAACUGGUCUGAGAGGAUGAUCAGUCACACUGGAACUGAGACACGGUCCAGACUCCUACGGGAGGCAGCAGUGGGGAAUAUUGGACAAUGUGCGAAAGCCUGAUCCAGCCAUGCCGCGUGUGUGAAGAAGGUCUUCGGAUUGUAAAGCACUUUAAGUUGGGAGGAAGGGCAGUAAGUUAAUACCUUGCUGUUUUGACGUUACCAACAGAAUAAGCACCGGCUAACUUCGU